AUCCUUUUGUAGUUCAUAAACGUGAUGAUUUGGUUUUCACACCCAUGUGUGAGAUGUGCCUCCCUCAAACCUUGUUACGUCACCGGCUCAUUACCUGUCUGACG
Molecule: small nucleolar RNA, 104 nt
Filed under: Microcebus murinus (gray mouse lemur)
Lineage: Eukaryota; Metazoa; Chordata; Mammalia; Primates; Cheirogaleidae
Description: Small nucleolar RNA U13 (ENSMICG00000041684.1)
Rfam family: Small nucleolar RNA U13
Source: Rfam by way of RNAcentral